This 604-nucleotide unclassified non-coding RNA is filed under the name Sedum acre. Its description in RNAcentral is "sequence contains ITS1, 5.8S rRNA gene and ITS2". The stretch from base 231 to 386 matches the Rfam family "5.8S ribosomal RNA". The record is from RNAcentral. Lineage: Eukaryota; Viridiplantae; Streptophyta; Magnoliopsida; Saxifragales; Crassulaceae.
UCGAAGCCUACAAAGCACGACCGCGAAUGAGUUUGCAAUCGGCGGAGCGUCAAGAGCCCUAGUGGUCAUUGGCGCCUCCUUGCUCGUUUGGCAAGGGGCAUUUCCUCCUUGUCUUUCGAAUCUAACGAACCCCGGCGCAAACUGCGCCAAGGAAUCAAAACGAAAAGAACUUGUCCCUCGACCCGUUGAUCGGGCUUUGAGGGCCUUGUCUGUUCAUAAAGUAUCAUAACGACUCUCGGCAACGGAUAUCUCGGCUCUCGCAUCGAUGAAGAACGUAGCAAAAUGCGAUACUUGGUGUGAAUUGCAGAAUCCCGUGAAUCAUCGAGUCUUUGAACGCAAGUUGCGCCCGAAGCCUUUAGGCCGAGGGCACGUCUGCCUGGGCGUCAUGCACUGCGAUGCCCCACACAAUUGGUUGGGCGAAUCAUGGCCUCCCGUUAGCCCCACUAGCGGAUGGCUUAAAAAAGAGCCUCGAGACGGAAUGGCGUCGCGACAAGUGGUGGUUGAAGAGGCUUCGGCCUUCGAANUUAGCAUGUCGUGCGCCUUUCCCCCUCCUUUUGGUCGAGCAAAGACUUCAAUGGAGUGCUUCAAUCGCAUUCCAGCAACC